GGAUUGUGGCUCAGCGGUAGAGCACUCACCUAGCAUGUGCAAGGCGCUGGGUUCAAUCCUCAGCACCA
This 68-nucleotide transfer RNA is filed under the name Marmota monax (woodchuck). RNAcentral's name for it is "tRNA.Ala". The record is from RNAcentral. Lineage: Eukaryota; Metazoa; Chordata; Mammalia; Rodentia; Sciuridae.